Molecule: long non-coding RNA, 3300 nt
Filed under: Nicotiana tabacum (common tobacco)
Lineage: Eukaryota; Viridiplantae; Streptophyta; Magnoliopsida; Solanales; Solanaceae
Description: long non-coding RNA (NTAB_LNC012354)
Source: RNAcentral
GAACUUAAAUAAGAUUUGGACAUUUAUUUUUAGCCCAAUGUUAAAGCCCAAAUUUGAAGCCUAACCUCCCUUACCUUUCACUAACCCAAAGCCCAUAACCCCUUCAGAUUUUAUAGGAGAGAGAACCCAUCAGACCUUUCCUCUCGAUCAAGAAACACAAGACCUAAAACCCUAGAACCCCAAAACCCUAGAGAGAACCGCCACCGUCCCCAUCUCCUCACCGCUGCCGCCUCCAACCAGAUGCAAACCCGCCGGAACUCCAAAAACCACCAACCUCCGUCGCUCUUAAAACUAGCAGAAACCGCUUCCUCACCUCUCCACCAUCAACGAACUCCAGCUGCAACGACCACCAAAUCCCCGCUUAUACAACCAUCAGACUUAACGUUCAACACCCCUUCAUUUUGACACCUUCAAAAUAGGAGCCAAACUCACUCCUCGCAGGGACCACGCCGGCGGAACCCAGCCAACUCACCCCUCAUGUUCCGCUAUUGCCUCACCGGCGAGUGGCUGAAAACCGACGACCAUGCACGGAAGCACUCCUCCGCACAACCACAGAACACCUUCAUACUAUCGUCUUCAAAUCUGAUUGUUUGUCACCAUCCUACAACGCUUGUGUUUGCAAUGAUUUUUUUUCGGAUCCGAAUUUGAUCUGAGUUGAAGUAAAUUUUUUUUGCCAAGUUCAUUGAAUUUGCUUUCGGGUCAAACCUCGUUGUCGCAUUAAUUGUUCGAGUUCUUGCUGUCGAUCGAGGUAUCCAUCUAAUUUUCCGGUCCAAGCCUUGUUCCAUAGUCACGUUUCAAAGUUUGUCAAAUUCUAUUUUGAGGUCCAUUUCUUUCCCACUCCAAUUGUUCUUCUGUUUGAUAAUGCGGCGAGAAUAUGCUUUGGUUUGAUUAAGUGUUUGAUUUUAUUAUUACGGUCUAGAUGAUGAUUGAAUGAUUAAUUUUAGAUGAUGAAUUGUUUGUGCUCAAAGAAUUCUAAGGUACCGUUAGAGUGUCAUUUUUUUUUAAAAAAAGUUUGAUGUUACCAAUAAUAGAUUUAAAGGUUGUCGUGCAGUAGGAGUUGUUGGGCCUAGGGAUAAAAUAAAGUUGGACUUUAACCUAUUUCAUUGCUUUAUUUGAUUUGUGUUACAUUAUACGCUAGGAGCAUGCUUUGGCUGACCACAUUUGGGUAGACAAACCUUUAGGGCGUUCGUGUUUUAGUUUCUUUUGAGGUGAGAGGUCGCCCCUUUAGUUAAAUUUAUCCGGGAAAUGCCCCGUAGAUUUUGUAGUAUUUUAUUCUUAUUUUAUUUUUUUAGGUGGGGAUGACCUCAAGUCUCUUGUGUGUUUACUUUUAUUUUUAUGUUUUAUUUUUAUCUCAAUUCGAAUAUUUUAAAAGCCAACUAGAUUGAGUACGCAACCGUACUAGUUACGGGACUUAGGGAGUGCCUAACACCUUCUCCCCUAGUCAAAUGAACCACCUUACCCGAAUCUCUGGUGCAAACUUAAAUUGGAGUCCAAAGUGUUUUAAAAGGAAAAUCAUCUUUAAAAAUGGUGACCUGGCACACCGAAAUUAAUGUUAGGUGGCGACUCUGAGUUAUUUCCUUUUGAACACAAUAUUUUGUCACUUUCAUAAUUGAAAACCCUUUUGAGCUUUACAAAUCUUUUUAUUAAUUUUAAGAGGGUUUAGUGAAGUAGGUUUGUAAAAAAAGGGGUGUGACAUCUCUGGCGACUCUGCUGGGGAGUUGUAGGUUCGAGCUAGUACUUGAUCUUGUUGGUUUUUAGGAUAUUCAGUUGAUGUUUUUAUGUGUUUUGUUUACUUUUUAUUUUGUUUAUGUUGUUUUGCUAUUUGCUUGUUGCUUAUUUGUUUUCAGUUUUGCCUUUAUGUGUUACUGCUUUAUAAAUUGUCAUCAUUUGCAUAACCCCGUGUCUUCUUUCUGCAACAAGUCUUCCAAAGUACGUUUGAGCGUGCACGGACUUUUGUGAGUCACUCGUGUCUUUAGGGGGUGGCGUGGGAGCGUGGAGUGGGCGGACAACUAGAACAGCCAUCAUCGACCACGUGCCGCCCCGAAUUGCCUUGUCUAGUGAACCCCAAAUUUAGGUCAGCCUGUAGGUCAUUCUUAUUUGCAUCAUGUUAUUCGGACCUAGUAGGGCUCAGUGUCAGGUACCGUGUCCCUUUAUAAGAAGUCUAUCCAAAUUUUGUCAAAAAUGGGCCUAUGACCCAAAAAGACAUUCAAUCAUCCCUAUGUGAUACAUGUUGCAUCUUUGAGGGUAAAAAGGUCAUUUGGCGGGCCGAUGUUUGGGAAAGAAGGGUGAAAAAUGAAGCAAGUAGGGCCUAGUUAUAUUUUUCUUUCACAAUUUUUUCAAAAAACAAAUGAAAAUGAAGAAAUCCAAAAAGAUUUUGCACUUUCCCAUCAUUUUCCAAAAAUUCAAAAAAAGAUAAAAAGAAAAUCCAAAAAGAUUUUAAAAUUUUCAUUAUUUUUAAAAAAGACAAAAAUAUAUAUUUUUUUCCAAAUUAGUAUCAUUUUUUAAGCUUUCUCCCAUAUCCAAUCUUUUCGAACUACGCAUACCUGAUUCUCGUCUUUCAGGGCGGGAUACGUAGGCAGCCCACAUAGGGUCCGAUAUUUCUAGUGAGUCUUAGGUUCUUGGCUUCGCGAAGUCGUAACAAAAUCUUGCAUGUCCAGCCACUUUUGGCCACAUCGGUCAUUCUUGCAAAAUAGGGUCAUUUUCGCAAAAGUGGUUCAAUUACCCAUGUCUUAGGAUCUUGAGUCCACAACUAGGAGUCAUACUACUCUAAGGCACGUCCUUAUUGAGUUUGCAUCUUUAGCCACUUCCAAUCAUAUCGGUCGUUUUUGCAAAAUGGAUCAUUUCUGCAAAUUGAUUUUGGGCCAUGAUUAUUGAGAGUUGAAUCGAUAUAAGCCUUAUUGAGGUAUUUCCAUGUCUUUGAGGUCACCUUUGUUGAGUUUGUACUAAUAGGCAUCCUUGGCCACAUAGGUUGAUUUUGCAAAAGUAGUACAAUCAUGUCUUGCAUGUGUCCAAUAGGAGGUGUUGUGGUGUCGCAUAAUGUCUCAUAGUCACUGAUCUAUUUGGUCUUGUUUUUCUCAUUCAGGUGUGGAUCCAUGUACCAGGACUCGAGCAUGACGAAUAGCCUAGGACCACUGCAUUCAAGAGCUACUUGAGGAGACUUUUAAUAUUUUGUGUCUGUUUUUGAGUCUUUUAGGUGGUUUAAGAGUUUGUCUAGGCUUUUGUUAUCGUACUUCCUAUGAUGUAUUUGAAAACCAAAAAAAAAUUAUAAAAAAUUCCAAAAAUAUUUUUAUUUUUAGUUUA